UUAGAUACCCUUGUAGUCCACACAGUAAACGAUGAAUACUCGCUGUUGGCGAUACAAUGUCAGCGGCCAAGCGAAAGCAUUAAGUAUUCCACCUGGGGAGUACGCCGGCAACGGUGAAACUCAAAGGAAUUGACGGGGGCCCGCACAAGCGGAGGAACAUGUGGUUUAAUUCGAUGAUACGCGAGGAACCUUACCCGGGCUUAAAUUGCAACUGACGGACUUGGAAACAGGUCUUUCUUCGGACAGUUGUGAAGGUGCUGCAUGGUUGUCGUCAGCUCGUGCCGUGAGGUGUCGGCUUAAGUGCCAUAACGAGCGCAACCCUUACCGACAGUUACCAUCAGGUAACGCUGGGGACUCUGUCGGGACU
Molecule: ribosomal RNA, 367 nt
Filed under: uncultured bacterium
Lineage: Bacteria
Description: bacterial SSU rRNA
Rfam family: Bacterial small subunit ribosomal RNA
Source: RNAcentral